AUGGACGCCAAGCCGAUGGUGGCCACUGACCGUGGCGAUGUCAAGAAGUUGAAGGAUCUGCUGAACCAGGAGGAUGCCAUGGCGAUGGUUGUGGUGACGGCGACGAGCAAGAAGCCUCCCGGGGAGGACCAACCCCCUGCCGGUAACAUUAUCAACCCCCUACUUCUGGCAUCUGCGCGUGGGGGCUCCUGGGAAGCGCUGAAUCUCCUUCUGGAGAGGGAAGACGCAAAAAAGCCACAAAUGAUGGUUCCUACUCGCAAGUUUCUUCAGUUGAUAGCGAGAAGCAGCAGCGCCCAGGGAAGAAUCCCGGUGUCAGCUGCUGGUGAUGUAGAAGAGGGCGUCGACGACCAGCCUGUAUCUUCGGUUGCAGCUGGAGCACUCCUCAAGGGCCUCACCCCUCAAGGGGAUACUGCACUGCAUGUGGUCACCAAUGGAGGGGGCCGAAAUUUCUUGAAGUAUGCGGGCAUCAUCUGUAACAGGGACAAGAGAAUCCUGUUUUCCAGGAAUCACAAUGGCGACACACCGUUACAUCGUGCUGCCAGAGUUGGGCAACCCAGAAUGGUUUCUUAUCUCAUUCAUCUAGCUGCUCGUGAAGGUGCCGACACGAAGCUCCGGUUUUUGAGAAUGGAAAAUAACCGUCACGAGACGGCCCUCCACCAGGCUGUACGAUUUGAAUACGGUAGAGGUCUGCGUUAUGAGGAGAAGGAAGCAUUUAUUGGUGCUGCUGACCCCGCCAGAGAAGAAAAGAAUAAGCGUGACGAGAUAGGGGGUGUCCUAAAUGAAGACGGUAAAAGUCUGGGUGAUGCGGAGGGCACACCAGAAGAAAGGAAUAUUGUGAAGCUGCUAAUGGGUGCUGAUGCCGAAUUGGCUAAUUAUCCUGCAGAUGGUGUUUCACCCUUGUAUCUAGCCAUCUUGCUGGGGAAGAGUACCAUUGCACUGAUUCUAUAUCAUAUGAGUCGUGGCAAUCUCUCCCAUUCCGGAGCAGAUGGACAAAAUGCCUUGCAUGUUGCGGUUCUUCGGGACCGAGUGAUGGUAGAGUUCCUAGUGCAUUGGAACAGAAGCCUUACUGCACAAGUGGACAAAGAUGGGAGCACGCCGCUUCACUUUGCAUCAUCGGUGUACUUCCGGACUGGCUCGGAUCUGCGUUUUAUGUUCCUCCGCACUCUCCCUUGGUGUCGUUUUGUAUGGAUUCCCUGGGGAAAAAAGAUACACGAUCUAGUAUUCAAUGCGAACCCCGCCGCAUUGUACCAAGCUGACAAGGACGGAUAUUUUCCCAUACAUGUGGCUGCCUCUGUAGGUCUCAAAGAUGUCGUGCAAUUCUUCUUUAAUGAUUACCCAGAUAGUGCCGGAUUGUGUGACGCUAAAGGAAGGACGUUCCUUCAUGUUGCCGUCGACAAGGAAGAAUUUGACAUUGUCUCGUAUGUAUGUCGAACUCCAUCUUUAGCUUGGAUUCUGAAUAUGCAAGACAAUGAUGGGAACACGGCAUUGCACUUAGCUAUCGAGGCUCGGAAUUUCAAGAUUUUUUGUGCUCUAUUUGGGUCUCGACGGGUAUGUCUGAAUCGGAUAAAUAACCAAGGGGAAACUCUCCGUGAUCUAGCCAAAAGUAAGGUUCCACACGGAAUAAGUUAUAUAGAGAACCCUGAGUGCAAAAUACACGAGGUAUUAUGGCGUGCUGAAACGAGCACGGUGCCCUUCGAGAGGAUAAGCUUCAUGAAAGAUACAUGA
Molecule: ribosomal RNA, 1725 nt
Filed under: Triticum aestivum (bread wheat)
Lineage: Eukaryota; Viridiplantae; Streptophyta; Magnoliopsida; Poales; Poaceae
Description: partial small subunit ribosomal RNA
Source: RNAcentral